Molecule: long non-coding RNA, 3699 nt
Filed under: Prunus persica (peach)
Lineage: Eukaryota; Viridiplantae; Streptophyta; Magnoliopsida; Rosales; Rosaceae
Description: long non-coding RNA (PPER_LNC006065)
Source: RNAcentral
ACCUCUAAUAUCUUAACAGUAUUCGACAACUUCAAUCUUUCUGGAAUCUUCAGUCUGGGGCAAUCUUCUAUCUUCAGAUGCUUGAGCUUCAUCAUUGCAUUUUCUUCCACUGUCCAUUCCUCCAACUCCAUUAAAGAAACAAGGUGUAGAACUUGCAGUUGUGGAAACCCUUCUGAAGAGGAAACCAGUUCCCUCCAUUUGUAUGAUUGGUUCCCCAAGACAAGCAUCUUCAGGUAUGGCAACCUUUCUAGUUGAACUAUCGAAUCUUUCUGGAGCUCAGAACCAAUCAAACUUAGCUUGACUAGGUUUGGCGGAAAUUCACGUACAUGAGGUAACUUCUCUAUUUUCCCCUUCAAACACAGCUUGUGGAGAUGUUGGAAAUGAGAGAGGCCCAUGGAUGUUGGGAAUGUUUCAUUGUUCAUCACCUCCAGUGACAACGAUUGCAGGUAGCACAUUCUCCUUAGUAUUGAAAUCACCAAGUUUACCCUUUCUUGUGAUAAUCUUUCUAUUCCCAGUCGUCGUAGACUGAUCAUGUUGGCUAAGCCUCCGUCUUCUAUCCAUCUUCCAGCCCUUAUAGUUUUUAGGGUCUGUAAAUGGCUCAAGGUGUCCAAUCUAAGCUUGACACGAUUUGGUUGGGACUUAUCACAAAGCAGCAAAUGCCUCAAACGUUUCAUCUUCCAAAUUACAUUGGGGAUGGGUGAAAAAGAAGUUCCCAAAUCCAGUGUCUCUAGGUUCUUCAAGUUUCCAAUCGAUGGUGGGAUGUAGCAAUUUUUAAAAAUCUGGCUCACUCCAAGAUACCUCAACUGAAUUAGGAUCCCUAUAGCACUAGGUGUGUGCGUGGAUCCCAUUGCAUGCUUUAGAUCCAAGACCUUCAGCAACUUGAAAUCCUUUUUAAUAAAAUAGAAUUCUGGAUGUUGAAAGCGGUUGAAAAAAUGAAGGGAUCGUAAAUGGGGAGCAUAUGGAUUUAGGAAAGGUGAGUGUAGGAAACCAUGCUGCGUAGGGUUAGAAUUUAAGGCAAUUCUUCGAGAUUUGGUUGAUGGGGAAACUGAUGAUUCAACUUCACCACCAGUAUAAAUUCCUAGAAAAUUUUCUUCCCUCGAUACGGAGAGAGAGAAGUCUCUAAGAAGAUCAUGGAUGCUGAUGGUCUUAACCCUCCCAAGUGAGGUUAGAGUUCCCACUUGGAUCAUGCACCUAUUAAUCAACUCGUUCAAGCAAUUUUCAGCUACACCUUCUGCUGUAUCUUCCCCUUGUUGGGGUAAGAAUCCUUCUGCUACCCACAAGCGCAUCAAUUGCGUUUUUGGUAUGGAGAAAUCCUCAGGAAAAAGACCCAAAUGGAGAAAACAUGAUUUUAAGUAGAAAGGCAAGUCUUUAUAGCUCAGGGCUAAAAUUGCAGAAACACGAUCUUGAUCAAUCAGGUGCCAACUGAUGUUUUGAAGGACAAGUUCCCAUUCCUCUCUAGUCUUCAUUUUCCUGGAUAGUAAUCCCCCAAGCACCACCAAUGCCAAGGGUAGACCACCGCAUUUCGUCACCAUCUCUCUUCCUAGAUUCUCCAAGUCGGAGGGAAAAUGAUCCAUUCCCGGGAGUGCUUUCUUGCGAAACAAUUCCAGGCUUUCAUCCUCUGUCAGCAUUCGCGGCUCAUGGGGAGUGCUCCUUGCAUCUGCAUGUAAGGCAACCUCCCUGUUUCGGGUUGUCAGCAUCACCUUACUAGUGAGGCUUGGGUCCAAGUUAGUCAUUGUCCCGUAACGGGCAAUGAGAUGAAAUUUUCUCAUAUGUGGAAAAAAAUUCAUCAAGCAUUUUGUGAAAGGGCAAUUGGUUCUACACGUACAUAAAUUGCAUUAUCCAGUAGGUGGAAAGUUCUUAAUAAAAAGUUGGCGAAAUGGAGAAAUGCCUUUGCAAAAGCGAUGGACAAGCAUCGAAGCGGAGAAAACCUUAGCAGUGAGGUAAAUUAUUUGUCAUUUUCCUUCUAUUAAUUUCUAUGUCAUAUUAAUUUUUAUUUAAAUGUUUCUUGCAAUUUAUAUAUUUUGUUAAUAUGUCUCUAGUUUUUUUUUUUAUACAUGUUGCAUUUUUUUUAAAUUUAUUGAAUUUGCAUUAGUUUUUUUUUACAUAUUGCAUUGCCAAUAUUUUUUAAAGUUUCUUGCAUUUCCAUUUAAUUUUUUUUUAUAGAUUAUGCAAGCUCAAAUGUGGUUUGGUGCUACGGGGCAAGGGAAAAAAAGUUUCAAUUGUUGGGAGGUGGUGAAGACUUGUAAGAGUUUGCAAAUAUCAUGCAUGAUUUUAUUGAACAAAUGGGAUUGCAUUCAAUAUCUCCCUCGAAAAUGAACAUCAGAGUACAGAGAUUGUGGGAUAAAAUAAUAUCUCAUAAGAUUCUUACCCCGAGAAUGUCUAUGUCUGUCCACAUUUGGGCGACGGUCUUCUCGUGAACCACGGCGACCCUGGUUUUCUUCCUCCAGCAAAGCAACUGCUAUGUCAAGUUGCUCAUCUAGUUCUCUCUGCGCCCUUUUGCUUGCAGCUCGUCUACGCAUUCUUUCUCUAGUUUCUCGCUCUUGCCUCUCCAAAACCUCUUCCAUGUCUGCCAUUGAGAAUGGAGAAUGAAAUCUAAAAUUUGAGAAAUGGAAGUGUAGAGAAGAACUGGUGUGGGAGGUAUGAGCUGAACCUCUGGUUUUAUAGAAAAAUGUACACAGAUAGAUAUGACACGCGGCGCAAUCUUAGAGGGUGAAAAUAUUAUCUGAAAUUUGAAAUUCAAAUGAAAUUUCAAAUUUCAAAUUUAUCUGAAAUUUGAAUUUCGAAAUGUAUCUGAAAUUUGACAUUUUGAAUUUAUCUGAAAUUUGAAUUUUGAAAUGUAUCUGAAAUUUGAAACCGAAAAUCUUAUCCGAUAUGAAUAGUAUUGACAUGUAGGAACCCAAAAAUCUUAUCCGAAAAUAUUAUCCAAAUUAAUUAUUUAAGUAAACAAAGUUGUGAAAAAAACAAAAAAAUGAAUAGUAUUUGCCAUGGCAAGCCCCAACUGCUGGAAACACAUUUUGCUGGAGAGGGAAUAGUGGCUGCCCUAGGGCUCAUCUUGUCAUGGCAAGGGGCAACUGGUGAAAAUGCUCUAACAGAGUAGCCUUCAUGGCAUUUAUAUAGUAAUGUACAUUUAAAAAAUAAAAAUUUUAAAAUAAAAAUUUAUAAAUAAAAUAAAAAUAAAAAUAAAAAUAAAAUAAAAAAUAAAAAAUAAAAAACAAUCUCAACAAAUUAGAAAGGAGUAAUCAAACUUGAUAACAAAAAUUGUGCCUUAUAAUUAAGGUCAAUUUACUUGAUAAGAAAAUCAAAUUUACAUUAACCUUGGAAACAUUUGAAUCAAUCUCUAAUGUACAUCAAUCUAAUCUGCUGCUCGAAGCUUUUGUCCAUUGCAACAAUCUCUAAUUUCUCUAGAGUAGUAGUAAACAACUUCAAUCUUUCUGGAAUCUUUUUCAGUUUUAGGCACCUUUCUAUCUUUAGAUGCUUGAGCUUCAUCAUUGCAUUUUCUUCCACUGUCCAUUCCUCCAACUCCAUUAAAGAAACAAGGUGUAGAACUUGCAGCUGUGGAAACCCUUCUGAAGAGCAAACCAGUUCCCUCCAUUUGUAUGAUUGGUUCCCCAAGACAAGCAUCUUCAGGUAAGGCAACCUUUCUAGUUGAACUAUCGAAUCUUUCUGGAGCUCAGAACCAAUCAAACUUAGCUUGACGAG